CCUCUAUAUUUUUAUGUACAGGUGCAUUAAUUGGGCUUCGCUAAGGUAUUGCUCAUCAAAAUCUAUGGAGAGUCGGCUGAGCUAAAAUUGGUAGUGUUAUUAGCCACAUAAGGUAGUGAGGCUGCCUCUGGAAAAACAAGUGUACGUUUUAUAGAUUUUCAAAAGACGGACUUGUCAAACUUAUCUAUCAAAAUGUUCUCCAGAAUCCUGAGGCGGCCGUUUGCUGACGUUAUCGGAAUGCGCUUGUUGAUGCUGUCGGAGUGCAGAACUGUCGACUGGACAUCGAAGUAUGUGGUGGGAUCGGUGGUUAGGGUGGGAUGGAAGGAUUCGGCGGAAUCGGCGGGAUCGACGGAAAUUGAAUAAUUUGACGCCAGUUUGACCAGGGUUCUCGAGCGCUAUUGACUGGGGCCAAUAUAAGGUGUUAAUCAACCUUUUUAAUCAGAAUUAUUUCUCGAAUAAACCAAAUAGGGAUGUGAUGAUAAACGGAACUUUGCCGUAAACGUUGGAAUCCAUCUUACAGUUCCGGAAUGAUCAAUCAUCUCUUAAGCUGUAAAGAUGUAAGGGAGGAUAAUGCCU
RNAcentral lists this long non-coding RNA (576 nucleotides) under Drosophila guanche. The record is from RNAcentral. Lineage: Eukaryota; Metazoa; Arthropoda; Insecta; Diptera; Drosophilidae.